Molecule: unclassified non-coding RNA, 348 nt
Filed under: soil metagenome
Description: partial contains 5.8S ribosomal RNA, internal transcribed spacer 2, and large subunit ribosomal RNA
Rfam family: 5.8S ribosomal RNA (bases 1-120)
Source: RNAcentral
GAUGAAGAACGUAGCAAAAUGCGAUAAGUAAUGUGAAUUGCAGAAUUCAGUGAGUCAUCGAAUCUUUGAACGCACAUUGCGCCCGCUGGUAUUCCGGCGGGCAUGCCUGUUCGAGCGUCAUUUCAACCCUCAAGCCCCCGGGUUUGGUGUUGGGGAUCGGCUCUGCCCUUCUGGGCGGUGCCGCCCCCGAAAUACAUUGGCGGUCUCGCUGCAGCCUCCAUUGCGUAGUAGCUAACACCUCGCAACUGGAACGCGGCGCGGCCAUGCCGUAAAACCCCAACUUCUGAAUGUUGACCUCGGAUCAGGUAGGAAUACCCGCUGAACUUAAGCAUAUCAAUAAGCGGAGGA